This 25-nucleotide non-coding RNA is filed under the name Cricetulus griseus (Chinese hamster). The record is from RNAcentral. Lineage: Eukaryota; Metazoa; Chordata; Mammalia; Rodentia; Cricetidae.
GACUGAAGAAGAGGAUGUGAGUAGA